AGAGUUUGAUCCUGGCUCAGAACGAACGCUGGCGGCGUGGAUUAGGCAUGCAAGUCGCACGAUCCUUCGGGAUAGUGGCGUAAGGGUGAGUAACACGUGGGCAAUUUACCUUCGACUUGGGAAUAACCUUGCGAAAGCGGGGCUAAUACCGAAUAAUGUGCUUGAAUUGCAUAUUUUAAGCACCAAAGCCCUUCGGGGCGGUUGAAGAGAAGCCCGCGUCCUAUCAGCUUGUUGGUAAGGUAACGGCUUACCAAGGCGACGACGGGUAGCUGGUCUGAGAGGAUGGUCAGCCACACUGGGACUGAGACACUGCCCAGACUCCUACGGGAGGCUGCAGUCGAGAAUCUUCCCCAAUGGGCGAAAGCCUGAGGGAGCGACGCCGCGUGAGGGAUGAAGGUCUUCGGAUUGUAAACCUCUGUCACCCUGGACGAAUUUGACUGUACGGGGAGAGGAAGCUCCGGCUAACUACGUGCCAGCAGCCGCGGUAAUACGUAGGGAGCAAGCGUUGUUCGGAAUUACUGGGCGUAAAGGGUGUGUAGGUGGGUAUGCAAGCUCUGAGUGAAAUCCUCCGGCUUAACCGGAGAACUGCUUGGAGAACUACAUAUCUUGAGUACAGGGGAAGAGAGUGGAAUUCUCGGUGUAGCGGUGAAAUGCGUAGAUAUCGAGAAGAACACCGGCGGCGAAGGCGGCUCUCUAUCCUGAUACUGACACUGAGACACGAAAGCUAAGGUAGCGAAUGGGAUUAGAUACCCCAGUAGUCUUAGCUGUAAACGAUGGGCACUUGGUGUAGGGAAUUAUAUUUUCUGUGCCGAAGCUAAUGCGAUAAGUGCCCCGCCUGGGGACUACGGCCGCAGGGCUAAAACUCAAAGGAAUUGACGGGGACCCGCACGAGCGGUGGAGCAUGUGGUUUAAUACGACGCUACGCGUAGAACCUUACCAGGGUUUGACAUGCUGGUAGUAAUUCUGAUGAAAGUCGGAAUGAUCCUUUUGGAAGCCAGCACAGGUGUUGCAUGGCUGUCGUCAGCUCGUGCUGUGAAGUGUUGGGUUAAGUCCCGCAACGAGCGCAACCCUUAUCCUUAGUUACCCCGAUUUAUCGGGGAUCUCUAGGGAAACUGCCUCGUAAACGAGGAGGAAGGUGGGGACGACGUCAAGUCAUCAUGGCCCUUACGCCCUGGGCUACACACGUGCUACAAUCUUUGCUACAAUGGGCCGCAAA
This 1216-nucleotide ribosomal RNA is filed under the name metagenome. RNAcentral's name for it is "bacterial SSU rRNA". It matches the Rfam family "Bacterial small subunit ribosomal RNA", at positions 8 to 1253 of the family's 1533-position model. The record is from RNAcentral.